CAGCAGAUGGCUCUCUUACACUCGCUUCUUAUUCUUUACACAACAAGAGCAUCUUUUGUAACGUAAACAAGUUAGAAGACCCCACCUCUCUGUAGUGGCGGAAAAAUAAGUUGUUAAAAAGUCGUGGGUAUAAUUCAAGGGCGGUAUUACUCUCCACGAAGAAAUAUUAUGUUUUUAAUUCGUUUCUAUUAGCACAUAGGCCCACUGAACAGCGACUCUAACGUUAGCUAACUUUGCUAACUUCACACCGUGGCAAGCGCAAUAUCAACGAUAUAACCAUUUUUAGCUUACAAAAACGAAAGGAACAUAAUAGUUUUGAAUUCUUAGAUCAAAAAAAUGUCUCUUCUGAGGGAUCACAAGACUUUGCGUAUUUUGCUCAUUGCUCUUUCUCAAUUUGCUUACGUUGCUGCUUUGAUUAUCAAUGCACUCGCGGGACCAGGAAAAGGUCCAUUUCAGCGCAGCACUGGAAAUAUAUCAGACAGAUAUCAGACAGAGAUCACUCCUGCUGGAUGGACCUUCUCUAUAUGGGGGGUCGUCUAUUCCUGGCUCUUCCUGAUGAACGCAUAUAUCCUUACCUGGCUUUGUAGAGGGUUGUACUCAAGUCCAGCAAUCCUGCCCUCGGAAUUCUUUCUCUCAUGGAUCAUCAACAUGAUUCUGAACAGUACCUGGCUGGUCUUGUGGGAUAGAGAGUAAGUUGUGGGCAGCCAACAUAUUUUGUGGCAUAAUCAUAGUUUUGCAUGGUGCCUCAGAAGGUCACGUGUUUGUCUUUUAUUGAUUCAGAUUGAUGAUUCCUGCCCUGAUUGUUCUUGCCCUGAUUGCUUUCACCAACUACCUGAUGAUCUUCUUCUCUUGUCUUGGUCUGCGAGCUCAUGGAUCUUGGCUUAAACAGCAACAUCCAAAAGACCUCUUCUGCAUCAUAGUGUUGGUUCAAAAUGGCAUUGCCACUUAUGCAACAUGGACAACUAUUGCCACACUGCUCAACUUCACUAUUGUGUUGGAUCUGGCGUCAGUUUCCCCAACACAUGCUGCUACUGCUUCUUUAUGCAUACUUCUGUUGGAAGUAAUUAUAUGGUUUACAGUUGAAAACUUUCUAAUAGAGAAGCACGUCCGUUACAUCCUCUCGGUUUACCCUGUGAUUAUCUAUGCUCUAAUUGGAAGCCUAAGCAAGCAUUACAUUGCCGCGGGACCUGGCCGGAAUGCCAUCUUUUCAAUGAUGCUUCUGGUGUUGGCCUGUAUUUUGUUAGUGGUGCGCGUGGGGCUGGUGGUUUGGAGACACGGGACUCUGCCUCUCUUCCGUGAAGUAAGUCCUGAGGUCCUGAUGUCACCAAACAGCGGCACUGAUAAAUAACCAUACAUCAUAAAUACUAAACACUCAUGAAAACUUCAAAGAUGACGUGCCCUAAACGGUAACCCUUCCAGGUGUGCAGUACCUGCAUGAAUGUAUUUCGGCUGGAACAGAUGUCUUUUUCAAAGUAUUAUGGAAAAUAUGCAUGAAACAGCAUACGGUAACAACAUUAUAUCUAUUCUGAGCUUGAGCCAGGCCAUGUUCAGGGUAUUAAAUGUGCCAGUUUUGUUCUAUGUUACUCUUACCAUUCUAAAGUUGAAAUAAAAGUCUGCAUUUAUUUGAUCAAAAAUACAAUAAAAACAGCAGUAUUAUGAAACACUAUUAUGCACAACAGCUUUUUAUUUCAUUUUAAUGUUUUAUAAUGUAAUUGUGUGUAUGCAGAUAUAUUCAGUAACUUGUGACCAAAAUAUCAGUAUUAUACCUGAACCUGACAGUACAUUCAUUUGCUUGUUACCUUUUUGCAUGUCUUUAUGAAUUAACGUUAACAUUUAAUAUUUUAGCAAUUCAAAGCAAAAUAAGCACAAAUAAGGAAGCAAUUUAUUACAGUAUCAAAAGCAGUAUAUCAUACAAAAGCCGACAAUAAUCAUGAUACCAU
Molecule: long non-coding RNA, 1940 nt
Organism: Sinocyclocheilus grahami
Lineage: Eukaryota; Metazoa; Chordata; Actinopteri; Cypriniformes; Cyprinidae
Source: Ensembl